RNAcentral lists this long non-coding RNA (522 nucleotides) under Homo sapiens (human). Its description in RNAcentral is "HSALNT0286375". Lineage: Eukaryota; Metazoa; Chordata; Mammalia; Primates; Hominidae. The record is from RNAcentral.
GAUAAACAUUUUUCAACCAUGUUGAGAAAGGAGGAUAGCUGGGAAUAUAACAAAGCAGGAUCCAAUUUAAAGAAAUCUAUUUGUCUUUUUUUUUUUUAAUCUCGAUUGUCAAAGAUGAUUUGAAAAAGAAAGCUUCUGGGACCAGAUAACUUACACCGAAAGCAACUCAAGGAAUAAAUUCUGCUAAAAAGCACACCCUUGACACAGCAGAUCUGCUAGAAAGAGGGAGAUGAUUUCAAAAGGAGAAACUUCCUGUGAUAGCAAAUGGAGCUGCCAGCGUAGUCUUUGAACUCUCCUUCACCAUCAGCCAACGAAAGACUUCAGUUAUUCUUCACUAAAAAUGACAGUCUGCAAGUAUUUUGGACCUCCAGGUCGAGGCUAAGUUGGCAAGAACUAAAUGGAGAGAAAACCAUUUUACAGGGUCACUGCUAAAUCCAGAAUCACGGGAUUUCUGAAGAAACUGUAUAUGGGUGACUAAAUCAAAGGCUUCUGUUAGGUCAAUAAAAAUGUUUCUAAUAAUAA